AGCAAGCCCCAUAAGUAUGCAUGAGGUAUAAACUCUAUGGUUGAGAAGGUAUGAAGCCAUUCCAGUGAAACUGCAAUUCCAUCCAAUAUGUAUUGUUGCCAAUUUAUACUAUAUGAUUGAAAUAUCUUGCAAUUGUAGUUUUGUUUACUCAUUUCCCUCUACAUGUUUAGGUGGACAGCACCAUGAAGCAAAGUUGAUCCCCGUGGAAACAAGGUAAACUAUGAAUGCCACAUAUGCACCAGUGAAAAUGCAUACGGCAGUGGCAAAAAUUACUCCAUUCACUUCAUUGGAGAAAAAGUCGAUCAAAAGGUAACCAUUGAUUACUAUCACCAGAGCAGCCACAAGCCAUGACACCAUCUUGAGAACAAUACCAAUUUUGAAAGUGCCCAUGAUUUGCCCCUUGGAGACCAAAUAAAGAAGAGGGAUAAGUGCAAAAGGAAUCUGAAUUGAUUGAAGUACAUUUAGCCAUUCAUUUAGAACAUCCAAUGUGUCUUCCGAGGUAUCAAAAACAAGUGCAACAAUCAUAGU
This 528-nucleotide unclassified non-coding RNA is filed under the name Hevea brasiliensis (rubber tree). Lineage: Eukaryota; Viridiplantae; Streptophyta; Magnoliopsida; Malpighiales; Euphorbiaceae. The record is from RNAcentral.